AGCGAACGCUGGCGGCAGGCCUAACACAUGCAAGUCGAACGACCUCUUCGUAGUUAGUUGCUGUCGGGUGUGUCACACGUCGGAACGUUCCUGUUGGUACGGGAUACCUCAGGUACACUUGUGCUAAUACCGAGUGAGCCCUGCGGGGGCAACAUUUGUCCCACUUGUUGCGGCCCGCGUCGGAUUAGCUUGUUGGGGUGGUAACGGCGGACCAAGGCGUGGAUCAGUAGCUGGUUUGAGAGGAAGACCAGCCACACUGGGACUGAGAACCGGCCCAGACUCCUACGGGAGGCAGCAGUGGGGAAUCUUGCGAAAUGGGCGAAAGCCUGACGCAGCCAUGCUGCGUGAAUGAUGAAGGUCGUAGGAUUGUAAAAUUCUUUCACCGGGGACGAUAAUGACGGUACCCGGAGAAGAAGCCCCGGCUAACUUCGUG
This 433-nucleotide ribosomal RNA is filed under the name uncultured bacterium. Its description in RNAcentral is "partial 16S ribosomal RNA". It matches the Rfam family "Bacterial small subunit ribosomal RNA", at positions 29 to 507 of the family's 1533-position model. The record is from RNAcentral.